This 490-nucleotide ribosomal RNA is filed under the name uncultured bacterium. RNAcentral's name for it is "partial 16S ribosomal RNA". It matches the Rfam family "Bacterial small subunit ribosomal RNA", at positions 29 to 507 of the family's 1533-position model. The record is from RNAcentral.
AGUGAACGCUGGCGGUAGGCCUAACACAUGCAAGUCGAACGGCAGCACAGGAGAGCUUGCUCUCUGGGUGGCGAGUGGCGGCCGGGUGAGGAAUACAUCGGAAUCUGCCCAGUCGAGGGGGAUAACGUAGGGAAACUUACGCUAAUACCGCAUACGACCUUCGGGUGAAAGAGGGGGAUCGCAAGACCUCUCGCGAUUGGAUGAGCCGAUGUCGGAUUAGCUAGUUGGCGGGGUAAUGGCCCACCAAGGCGACGAUCCGUAGCUGGUCUGAGAGGAUGAUCAGCCACACUAGAACUGAGACACGGUCCAGACUCCUACGGGAGGCCGCAGUAGGGAAUAUUGAACACUGGGCGAAAACCUGAUCCAGCCAUACCGCGUGAGGGGAGAAGGCCUUCGGGUUGUAAAGCCCGUUUGUUGGGAAAGAAAUCUUUCAGGCUAAUACCCUGGGAGGAUGACGGUACCCAAAGAAUAAGCACCGGCUAACUUCGUG